AUGGCGUGCCUCGCCAUCUCCCUGCAGCCGGUGAACGNNNNNNNNNNNNNNNNNNNNNNNNNNNNNNNNNNNCCGGUCUCGCGCCCCCUCGCCGCCGUCUCCGCCUUCCGCCUCGCGCGCCUCAGCCUCGCCCGCGGCAAGCAGCACCCCUCCCCCUCCUCCUCCUCCGCCUCCCUCGACGCCAUCGGCGACGACCCGCUGGCCACCGGGUCGGGGCAGCUGGUGGUGGGCGUCGAGUCGCAGUACCGCGUGGUGUACCGCCUCGUCAACUCCAUCUACGUGCUCGGCGUCACCACCGCCUCCGACCACGCCGCCCCCGCCGUCCACGCCUUCGCCGUCGCCGACGCCGUCAACCAGGCCGUCUCCGUCCUCGUCGCCGCCUGCCGCGGCGUCGACGCCACCCCCGAGAAGGUCCACCGCAAGUACCCCGAGGUCUACCUCGCGCUCGACCUCGUCCUCCACGGCGUGGGGUCCGUGCGUCUCUCCCAGAUCCUCGCCACCAUCCAUGGCGACAACCUCGCCCGCAUGGUCAACUCCUCCCCCGACGCCGAGGCCCGCGCCCGCGGCGCCGACUCCUGGCCCGUCGUCGAGCACCUCGCGCAGGACCGCCACGCCGCCCGCGACGGCUUCGCCACCGCCUCCUUCGAGCUCCCCCAGGAGACCCUAUCUGCUGGCGAUGAGUUCUCUGCUUCCAGCCUCGCGCCUGCGACCGCUGCGGCUACUGGGGAUGAGCCGCGCCUGAGGAGGCGCCCCGGUUGA
RNAcentral lists this ribosomal RNA (759 nucleotides) under Triticum aestivum (bread wheat). RNAcentral describes it as "partial small subunit ribosomal RNA". The record is from RNAcentral. Lineage: Eukaryota; Viridiplantae; Streptophyta; Magnoliopsida; Poales; Poaceae.